Molecule: non-coding RNA, 74 nt
Organism: Aedes albopictus (Asian tiger mosquito)
Lineage: Eukaryota; Metazoa; Arthropoda; Insecta; Diptera; Culicidae
Source: Rfam
GGGUUGGUAGUCUAGUGGCUACCGCUUCUGAUUCGUAAGCAGAAGGUCUUGGGUUCAAUCCCUGGCCCGACCCA